CCCUAGUAACGGCGAGUGAAGCGGCAACAGCUCAAAUUUGAAAUCUGGCCUUCGGGUCCGAGUUGUAAUUUGUAGAGGAUGCUUUUGGCGCGGUGCCUUCCGAGUUCCCUGGAACGGGACGCCUUAGAGGGUGAGAGCCCCGUACGGUUGGACACCAAGCCUCUGUAAAGCUCCUUCGACGAGUCGAGUAGUUUGGGAAUGCUGCUCUAAAUGGGAGGUAAAUUUCUUCUAAAGCUAAAUAUUGGCCAGAGACCGAUAGCGCACAAGUAGAGUGAUCGAAAGAUGAAAAGCACUUUGAAAAGAGGGUUAAAUAGCACGUGAAAUUGUUGAAAGGGAAGCGUUUGCGACCAGACUUUUUCCUAGCGGAUCAUCCGGUGUUAUCACCGGUGCACUUCGCUAGGUUAAGGCCAGCAUCGGUUUCUGUAGGGGGAUAAAAGCUUGGGGAAUGUAGCUCCCUCGGGAGUGUUAUAGCCCCUCGCAUAAUACCCUUACGGGGACCGAGGACCGCGCUUUUGCAAGGAUGCUGGCGUAAUGGUUGUCAACGACCCGUCUUGAAACACGGACCAAGGAGUCGAACAUUUGUGCGAGUGUUUGGGUGUUAAACCCUCACGCGUAAUGAAAGUGAACGGAGGUGAGAGCCCUUACGGGUGCAUCAUCGACCGAUCCUGAUGUCUUCGGAUGGAUUUGAGUAAGAGCAUAACUGUUCGGACCCGAAAGAUGGUGAACUAUGCGUGGAUAGGGUGAAGCCAGAGGAAACUCUGGUGGAGGCUCGCAGCGGUUCUGACGUGCAAAUCGAUCGUCAAAUCUGCG
Molecule: ribosomal RNA, 810 nt
Filed under: Xylaria venosula
Lineage: Eukaryota; Fungi; Ascomycota; Sordariomycetes; Xylariales; Xylariaceae
Description: partial large subunit ribosomal RNA
Rfam family: Eukaryotic large subunit ribosomal RNA
Source: RNAcentral